Molecule: long non-coding RNA, 1578 nt
Filed under: Salmo salar (Atlantic salmon)
Lineage: Eukaryota; Metazoa; Chordata; Actinopteri; Salmoniformes; Salmonidae
Description: lncRNA (ENSSSAG00000086425.1)
Source: RNAcentral
GGGAGAUCUAAAAUCGAAAAUACUAUGUAAAUAAUCCAUUACCUUUGAUUCUCUUCAUCAGAUGUCACUUCCAGGUAUCACAGGUCCAUAACGAAUGUAGUUUUGUUCAAAAAAGCUCAUCAUUUAUGUCCAAAAAUCUCCGUCUUGUUAGCACAUGAUCUAAGCCCGCCGGACUUCACUUCAUGAACGAGGGGGAAAAAAUAUAUUUACGUUCGUUCAAACAUGUCAAACGUUGUAUAGCAUAAAUCAUUAGGGCCUUUUUUAACCAGAACAUGAAUAAUAUUCAAGGUGGACGAAUGCAUUCUCUUUUAUAACGUAUUGGAACGAGGGUACCCAACAUGAACUCGCGCCAGGUGUCUAAUGCGCCAUCAUCGUUCCAUGGCUCUUGUUCGGUCAGAUCUCCCUCCAGAAGACUCAAAACACUUUGUAAAGGCUGGUGACAUCUAGUGGAAGCAAUAGGAAGUGCCAAAAUAUUCCUCAGCCCCAGUGUUUUUCAAUGGCAUAGGUUUAAAGGUAAUACAACACAUCAGGUAUCCACUUCCUGUCAGAAAAUGUCUCAGGGUUUUGCCUGCCAAAUGAGUUCUGUUAUACUCACAGACACCAUUCAAACAGUUUUAGAAACUUUAGGGUGUUUUCUAUCCAUAUAUAAUAAGUAUAUGCAUAUUCUGGUUACUGGGUAGGAUUAGUAACCAGAUUAAAUCGGGUACAUUUUUUUAUCCAGCCGUGCAAAUACUGCCCCCUAGCCCUAACAGGUUAAGGGGAUUCUUGCUAUUGCAAGUGGACAGACGGGUUUUGAUUCCUACUGUGAAGCCUUUUUUGGUUAGCCUGAUCCCAGAUCUGUAUCUGGGACCAGGCUUUGUUUGUUUGAACCCCAGUGACCCCAGUGACACACUCCAGUGACCCCAGUGACUUUCACUGUAUGCCAAUGCUACACAGUCAAUGGCAGAUUGAGUUGCUAUAUCAUAACUUAUUUUACCCACAAUGACUUGGAAUGUGCACUAUUAUCAGUGUUGUUUGUAUUCUAUGCUCUUGUGGUUAUGGGCCUAUGGAGGCCCUCUAUGCCCAAUGUGUGCAAUGCCAACACCAAGACAAGUGCUCCCUAUCUGAUUUUGUCAGUUCACGGUUCAUGUUUGGGUAGGCCUAUAAUUAUGAACAUUCAAAGGCCAUAUGGUCUUUAUCAUAGAGAUCCUAUAAGACAUAUGUUCUAUCCCCUUUAUCAGAUGAAAUGUCCAUUUUAACCUGUACCAGCAAGAUCUCCUGUCUGUGAUGGAGUCAUUGAGCUACUGAUAACGACAAACUUUUAAAUGUUGUAUUGCUAUUUUUAUAAAGCUUUCUGGAUCUGAUGAUUGUUUGAAUAAAUGUUUAUGUUCCCAUGUUACUGUAGGUCUGUACUUCACAUCGUACUGGAUACUGAGAAGAUAUUUGCAGUUAAACAUUUGCUCACUAGAUGGCAACACCAACUCACAGAGAGGAUGCAGUACGUUUGUGUCCUAUGUUGUAGGAGUACUGGAUGUUCUGGAUGGGGAAAACUAAUGGGAUGUGGCUGAUGGGCAACUGAUAUUUCAUUUCUGAAUUGGU